UGCCAGCACCUGGAGCAGUUUCCGCAGUCGAUGAUGGCGUUGUAGGAGGCGUUUACCGAGCCGAAGUAGUACUGGGUCUGUUUCAUGACGCAGCUGCUCUCGCGCGUCUCGGGGCUCCCCUCGGCCUCCGCGGGGUCUGCGAGGGCCCAGAGCGCCUCAGCUCCGCCCACAGACCCUGGCAAGGUCUCCGGCCUCCCUCAGUCGUAGACCCCACCCUCCCCAUGGAGUCGUCUUAGCUCAGAUUGGGGACCCGGACUUGAGGAGGCGCCUCCAAAGCCCUACCUACCUGCUUGGAACCAGCUGUGGUAGAUGAGGCCGUAGAGAAGCUGCUGGAACAGGGACCUGCAGCGCACGGGGAGCCGAGUGCAGGUGGUCAGCAGAGGACGAUGCCAUGCCCUACUUCUCUUCUGAGCCCUCCCGGCCAGGGAGCACCUUCUCUACCCACCUCCCGCUCAGGACUCACCAGGCGGCAGCAGAGGUCCACCAGGCCAGGUUAAGGAAAUCUGCAACGGUGGGCUGCAGUGGAGAGAGGGGCGUGGACUGCCACUGCUGCCCCUCGCCCUAGGUCACCCCCAGCUUUAUCAAAUGUCAGAGCACCAGGAAUCCUCCAUCAUCAAUGAGGACACAGAGCUGCGGCGGUAGAAGCUGGCAUUGAAGGGCUCAGGGUUCUCUGUCCAGUCCUCAGCUGCCCUGGAGCACCCAAGAGGCAGACUGGCUGGGUGAUGCCUACGUGUUGAGAUCCUGGUCCCUCCACACACGCUCUACCAGCUGCUGCGUGAUGCCCGUGUCCAAGAUCAGGUUGUGCAGAAGGAAGUUGUUGCCUGGAACAGGAGGGGAGGGGUGGGGGUGGGGGCAUCUUCUUGCAGCUCCUUGCCCACCCUCACCCCCACCCUUAAGGCUCCACCAGGAGCCUCCUCCAUGACCUGGCCCUGGCCCAGGCCCAGCCCUUAGCUUGUGCCUGCUUAUUUCCACACCUGCCCGGCCUCUGGGUUCCUCUGGGCUGGCCCCAUGCUGCCUGGGCACUGCCCAGAGCCAGCUGCCCUGCCAGGCACUCACACUGCUUGGAGUCUGGAGUCACUUUCUCCAUGAGCUCAAUAAAGUUUUUCAGGAACUCGG
RNAcentral lists this long non-coding RNA (1116 nucleotides) under Homo sapiens (human). Its description in RNAcentral is "long non-coding RNA NONHSAT089841.2". The record is from RNAcentral. Lineage: Eukaryota; Metazoa; Chordata; Mammalia; Primates; Hominidae.